RNAcentral lists this ribosomal RNA (544 nucleotides) under uncultured Glomeromycotina. RNAcentral's name for it is "SSU rRNA". It matches the Rfam family "Eukaryotic small subunit ribosomal RNA", at positions 548 to 1098 of the family's 1831-position model. The record is from RNAcentral. Lineage: Eukaryota; Fungi; Glomeromycota.
UUGGAGGGCAAGUCUGGUGCCAGCAGCCGCGGUAAUUCCAGCUCCAAUAGCGUAUAUUAAAGUUGUUGCAGUUAAAAAGCUCGUAGUUGAAUUUCGGGGUUCUACCGUUGGUCGGGCUUUGUCUGUACUGGUGUGUAGAAUUUCUACCUUCUGGGGAACCAUCAUGCUAUUAAUUUAGCGUGGUGGGAAACCAGGACCUUUACCUUGAAAAAAUUAGUGUGUUCAAAGCAGGCUUAUGUCUGAAUACAUUAGCGUGGAAUAAUAGAAUAGGACGGUGGUCCUGUUUUGUUGGUUUCUGAAUCACCGUAAUGAUUAAUAGGGAUAGUUGGGGGCAUUAGUAUUCAAUUGUCAGAGGUGAAAUUCUUGGAUUUAUUGAAGACUAACUUCUGCGAAAGCAUUUGCCAAGGAUGUUUUCAUUAAUCAAGAACGAAAGUUAGGGGAUCGAAGACGAUCAGAUACCGUCGUAGUCUUAACCAUAAACUAUGCCGACUAGGGAUUGGACGAUGUUAAUUUUUCUUGACUCGUUCGGCGCCUUACGGGAAAC